RNAcentral lists this transfer RNA (69 nucleotides) under Ictidomys tridecemlineatus (thirteen-lined ground squirrel). RNAcentral's name for it is "Spermophilus tridecemlineatus (thirteen-lined ground squirrel) tRNA". It matches the Rfam family "tRNA". From Rfam's summary of the family: Transfer RNA (tRNA) molecules are approximately 80 nucleotides in length. Lineage: Eukaryota; Metazoa; Chordata; Mammalia; Rodentia; Sciuridae. The record is from Rfam by way of RNAcentral.
GGGGUUGUGGCUCAGCGGUAGUGCGCUUGCCUAGCAUGUGUGAGGCCCUGGGUUCGAUUCCCAGCACCA